CUGUAAUGCAACUCAGGUUGGAAUAAAUGACACUCAGACAGGUUUUACAAAUUAACACUCACACGGGUGAGAGCUGUGGUCAGCCUUUAUUUAUACUCAAGCAUGUUUGCGUCUCAAAAACAUACAGGAAGAGAUAACAUACCAUUGUACUGUGUGCAGGCUUCCUGCUGAGCUUGCACAACGUAACUUCUCUAGUAAAAAAGAGCAAACACAUCUAGAAAACCUUAAAUGAAAUGUACUUCUAAACAUAAACAUAAUAAAAAUCUUUCAACAUUCCCUCCUGUUGUUUGAUCUUUUCUCCUAUAUAUAUACAUAGCAACUCACUAACACUGUAUCAGUCUAUGGCUACUUGUAAAACAUUUUUAGCCAGGACAUCAUUAAAUAGUGGGUUUUUUGAGUAAGUUAUAUCCAAAUGUCUAUCUCAUUAUCAUCUUCUUCAUUCUGUGGUAGGGUGAUGUAAGCAUUAAUUGAAACAGUUACCAUUUUUGACACCAUGUUUUUCAAACAAGGUAUGACGCAUGAAGUGGAAAGACACAAUAACAAUAGUAGAACACCAAUGAAAACAAGUCCUUUAAUCAGCAGGGAUUUCCAAGAGCCGCUUAAAAACCACAUGAGCCAGUCUUCUGUGUUUGUAACAUAGUCUUGUUGCUGUGCAUCCCUGAGUUGUCUAAGUGUUUUCAGAGCAUCAGUCAUGUUGGACGAGUGUACAUUAUCUGGAAUGUAUGUGCAGCAUGUGUUGUUAAAGAGGACACAUAGUCCUCCUUUCUCAGCGCAUUUUUUCCUGUGCCCACCCAAGGAAACAGGGCAUGAAGUGCUUUCUGUCCAGUGGUCCAGAGUUUGAAUUCCUGUGGGACAUCGGAGCCCCAUAUUCGAUCGUGUGGUUCUGGACCGGUGUCAGUUGAACGCCGUCGUCUGUUGCGUUGGGGGGCAGCAUGUAGUACGUUUUUGGUCCACACACCCAAGCUGUCCCCUGGACCCAGUAUGUGCCACGCUUAAAAGUCAUAUCUGCAUCGGCAUUGUCCUUCCAGACUAUACUGCAGUUCUUGGUUCGACCAAGUUUUGUCCUUCCGUAUGAGAAGUCGAAACAUAUCGGGUGACGUUCUUCACUCUGCAAGAAAGCUGGA
Molecule: long non-coding RNA, 1124 nt
Organism: Oreochromis aureus
Lineage: Eukaryota; Metazoa; Chordata; Actinopteri; Cichliformes; Cichlidae
Source: Ensembl